Molecule: long non-coding RNA, 684 nt
Organism: Daphnia pulicaria
Lineage: Eukaryota; Metazoa; Arthropoda; Branchiopoda; Diplostraca; Daphniidae
Exons: 3
Source: RefSeq, a predicted model, not a curated record
UUCUAUUAGUACAAUUGUUCGUAAGUCACUAGCAAUGACUUAAGUAAUUAUAUUCUUAAGUAAUUGUUCUCUUAAGAAAUUAUUUUCAUUAGUAAUUAUUCUCACAAGUAACUAUUUUCUUAAGUAAUUAUUAUCUUAUGUAUUUACACGGUGUAAACACUUUUAUUAUUUUGUAUUUAGAGAUUUAAAGUGAAACGUCAUUUAUUGAUUGCGUUAUUGCGUAGGUUCAGGUUGCGUACAAACUUUUACGCGUUUGCAGUUUUAAGAACGCGCCUGGAAAUUACAUCAACAGUUUCGAGUUGUCUGCUUGUCACUUGUCAGUUUUUUUUUUCCAAAAGUCAGACAAGAGUUAAUUGCUGGUUAAUUGAGGCUCAAAAGUCAAAAUAUGCGUUGUUUGUGAAAAAUAUUUUGUCUUGGAAUCAAAUUGUUACACCAGUUAAAGGAAACAGGAGUUUCAUCAGAAGACAAAAGAUAAAGCAUCAUCAGUACUACAACCAGGUGGUAUUGGAUGUCAACGUAUUUUAAAAUGCUUCCCUCCAGGUAUUAAUGAAAAUUUUCAAGCAGACCUCCAAGUAAAAGUCACAGAGCUGAUAAUAAGAGUUCUGAUAGCAAAUGAAGGUCUCCAUUACUAUCAGGUUAUAGCAAAAUUAAAUUACGAAGAUGAUCCUCUUACAAUUAAUAUGC